RNAcentral lists this ribosomal RNA (585 nucleotides) under uncultured Actinomycetes bacterium. Its description in RNAcentral is "bacterial SSU rRNA". It matches the Rfam family "Bacterial small subunit ribosomal RNA", at positions 338 to 941 of the family's 1533-position model. Lineage: Bacteria; Bacillati; Actinomycetota; Actinomycetes. The record is from RNAcentral.
CCUACGGGAGGCAGCAGCAGGGAAUCUUGCGCAAUGGGCGAAAGCCUGACGCAGCGACACCGCGUGGGGGAUGAAGGCCUUCGGGUUGUAAACCCCUUUCAGGAGGGAUGAAAUUGACAGUACCUCCACAAGAAGGACCGGCCAACUACGUGCCAGCAGCCGCGGUAAUACGUAGGGUCCGAGCGUUAUCCGGAAUCAUUGGGCGUAAAGAGCUCGUAGGCGGUUCAGCAAGUCGGCUGUGAAAGUUCGAGGCUCAACCUCGAAAUUGCAGUCGAUACUGCUGUGACUCGAGUCCGGUAGAGGAGAAUGGAAUUCCCGGUGUAGCGGUGAAAUGCGCAGAUAUCGGGAGGAACACCAGUAGCGAAGGCGGUUCUCUGGGCCGGCACUGACGCUGAGGAGCGAAAGCGUGGGGAGCAAACAGGAUUAGAUACCCUGGUAGUCCACGCCGUAAACGUUGGAUACUAGGUGUGGCGUCCCGAUUAACGGUCGCCGUGCCGAAGCUAACGCAUUAAGUAUCCCGCCUGGGGAGUACGGCCGCAAGGCUAAAACUCAAAGGAAUGACGGAAUCUCGACUGCAGAAACCUU